UACGGGGGGGGCAAGCGUUGUUCGGAAUUAUUGGGCGUAAAGGGCUCGUAGGUGGCCAACUAAGUCAGACGUGAAAUCCCUCAGCUUAACUGGGGAACUGCGUGUGAUACUGGAUGGCUUGAAUUCGGGAGAGGGAUGCAGAAUUCCAGGUGUAGCGGUGAAAUGCGUAGAUAUCUGGAGGAAUACCGGUGGCGAAGGCGGCAUCCUGGACCGAGAUUGACGCUGAACGGCGAAAGCUAGGGGAGCAAACGGG
RNAcentral lists this ribosomal RNA (253 nucleotides) under uncultured bacterium. RNAcentral describes it as "partial 16S ribosomal RNA". It matches the Rfam family "Bacterial small subunit ribosomal RNA", at positions 524 to 776 of the family's 1533-position model. The record is from RNAcentral.